Molecule: non-coding RNA, 72 nt
Organism: Dipodomys ordii (Ord's kangaroo rat)
Lineage: Eukaryota; Metazoa; Chordata; Mammalia; Rodentia; Heteromyidae
Source: Rfam
GGGAAGUUGGCUCAGUGGUAGAGUGCUUGCCUUGCAUGCAUGAGGCCCUGGGUUCGAUUCCUCAGCAUCACA